UCCGUAGGUGAACCUGCGGAAGGAUCAUUACACUCAGUAGAUUUCUACUGCUCAGGGGGAGCGGAAAGUGCCUAGCUUGCUUUGGCAGGUGAAGUGCGAGUACGCUCUCUGUCUGAACCCUUGUCUUUUUGCGUACUCAUGUUUCCUCGGUGGGCUUGCCCGCCGAUUGGACACCUUAAUAACCUUUUUAAUUUUCAAUCAGCGUCUGAACAAUUAUAAUAAUUACAACUUUCAACAACGGAUCUCUUGGUUCUGGCAUCGAUGAAGAACGCAGCGAAAUGCGAUAAGUAGUGUGAAUUGCAGAAUUCAGUGAAUCAUCGAAUCUUUGAACGCACAUUGCGCCCCUUGGUAUUCCAUGGGGCAUGCUUGUUCGAGCGUCAUUUGUACCCUCAAGCUUUGCUUGGUGUUGGGUGUUUGUCCUUUCCCCGCGUUAGGACUCGCCUUAAAAUUCAUUGGCAGCCGAUGUAUUGGUUUGAAGCGCAGCACAAUUUUGCGCGUCAGGCUAGUUAUCAUCAGCGUCCAUUAAGCCUAUUUAACACUUUUGACCUCGGAUCAAGUAGGGAUACCUGCUGAACUUAAGCAUAUCAAUAAGGCGGGAGGGGAAGGUCGGACUGGCCAAGGGCACACAGGGGGGG
RNAcentral lists this ribosomal RNA (635 nucleotides) under uncultured fungus. RNAcentral's name for it is "eukaryotic LSU rRNA". The stretch from base 227 to 380 matches the Rfam family "5.8S ribosomal RNA". Lineage: Eukaryota; Fungi. The record is from RNAcentral.